GAUGGACGCUGGCGGCGUGCCUAACACAUGCAAGUCGAGCGAUUUACUUCGGCAAAGAGCGGCGGACGGGUGUGUAACGCGUGGGUAACCUGCCCUGUACACACGGAUAACAUACCGAAAGGUAUGCUAAUACGAGAUAAUAUACUUUUAUCGCAUGGUAGAAGUAUCAAAGCUCUGGCGGUACAGGAUGGACCCGCGUCUGAUUAGCUAGUUGGUAAGGUAACGGCUUACCAAGGCGACGAUCAGUAGCCGACCUGAGAGGGUGAGCGGCCACAUUGGAACUAAGACACGGUCCAAACUCCUACGGGAGUCAGCAGUGGGGAAUAUUGCACAAUGGGCGAAAGCCUGAUGCAGCAACGCCGCGUGAGCGAUGAAGGCCUUCGGGUCGUAAAGCUCUGUCCUCAAGGAAGAUAAUGACGGUACUUGAGGAGGAAGCCCCGGCUAACUACGUGCCAGCCGCCGCCGUAA
RNAcentral lists this ribosomal RNA (468 nucleotides) under uncultured bacterium. RNAcentral's name for it is "partial 16S ribosomal RNA". It matches the Rfam family "Bacterial small subunit ribosomal RNA", at positions 28 to 523 of the family's 1533-position model. The record is from RNAcentral.